ACUGGGACUGAGACACGGCCCAGAUUCCUACGGGAGGCAGCAGUAGGGAAUCUUCGGCAAUGGGGGGAACCCUGACCGAGCAACGCCGCGUGAGUGAAGAAGGUUUUCGGAUCGUAAAGCUCUGUUGUUAAGGAAGAACGUGUGUGAGAGUGGAAAGUUCACACAGUGACGGUACUUAACCAGAAAGGGACGGCUAACUACGUGCCAGCAGCCGCGGUAAUACGUAGGUCCCGAGCGUUGUCCGGAUUUAUUGGGCGUAAAGCGAGCGCAGGCGGUUAGAUAAGUCUGAAGUGAAAGGCAGUGGCUCAACCAUUGUAGGCUUUGGAAACUGUUUAACUUGAGUGCAGAAGGGGAGAGUGGAAUUCCAUGUGUAGCGGUGAAAUGCGUAGAUAUAUGGAGGAACACCGGUGGCGAAAGCGGCUCUCUGGUCUGUAACUGACGCUGAGGCUCGAAAGCGUGGGGAGCGAACAGGAUUAGAUACCCUGGUAGUCCACGCCGUAAACGAUGAGUGCUAGGUGUUAGGUCCUUUCCGGGACUUAGUGCCGCAGCUAACGCAUUAAGCACUCCGCCUGGGGAGUACGACCGCAAGGUUGAAACUCAAAGGAAUUGACGGGGGCCCGCACAAGCGGUGGAGCAUGUGGUUUAAUUCGAAGCAACGCGAAGAACCUUACCAGGUCUUGACAUCCCGAUGCCCGCUCUAGAGAUAGAGCUUUACUUCGGUACAUCGGUGACAGGUGGUGCAUGGUUGUCGUCAGCUCGUGUCGUGAGAUGUUGGGUUAAGUCCCGCAACGAGCGCAACCCUUAUUGUUAGUUGCCAUCAUUCAGUUGGGCACUCUAGCGAGACUGCCGGUAAUAAACCGGAGGAAGGUGGGGAUGACGUCAAAUCAUCAUGCCCCUUAUGACCUGGGCUACACACGUGCUACAAUGGCUGGUACAACGAGUCGCAAGCCGGUGACGGCAAGCUAAUCUCUGAAAGCCAGUCUCAGUUCGGAUUGUAGGCUGCAACUCGCCUACAUGAAGUCGGAAUCGCUAGUAAUCGCGGAUCAGCACGCCGCGGUGAAUACGUUCCCGGGCCUUGUACACACCGCCCGUCACACCACGAGAGUUUGUAACACCCGAAGUCGGUGAGGUAACCGUAAGGAGCCAGCCGCC
This 1152-nucleotide ribosomal RNA is filed under the name Streptococcus intermedius. RNAcentral's name for it is "bacterial SSU rRNA". It matches the Rfam family "Bacterial small subunit ribosomal RNA", at positions 312 to 1457 of the family's 1533-position model. The record is from RNAcentral. Lineage: Bacteria; Bacillati; Bacillota; Bacilli; Lactobacillales; Streptococcaceae.